GCCUGAAUCAGUGUGUGUGUUAGUGGAAGCGUCUGGAAAGGCGCGCGAUACAGGGUGACAGCCCCGUACACAAAAAUGCACAUGCUGUGAGCUCGAUGAGUAGGGCGGGACACGUGGUAUCCUGUCUGAAUAUGGGGGGACCAUCCUCCAAGGCUAAAUACUCCUGACUGACCGAUAGUGAACCAGUACCGUGAGGGAAAGGCGAAAAGAACCCCGGCGAGGGGAGUGAAAAAGAACCUGAAACCGUGUACGUACAAGCAGUGGGAGCACGCUUAGGCGUGUGACUGCGUACCUUUUGUAUAAUGGGUCAGCGACUUAUAUUCUGUAGCAAGGUUAACCGAAUAGGGGAGCCGAAGGGAAACCGAGUCUUAACUGGGCGUUAAGUUGCAGGGUAUAGACCCGAAACCCGGUGAUCUAGCCAUGGGCAGGUUGAAGGUUGGGUAACACUAACUGGAGGACCGAACCGACUAAUGUUGAAAAAUUAGCGGAUGACUUGUGGCUGGGGGUGAAAGGCCAAUCAAACCGGGAGAUAGCUGGUUCUCCCCGAAAGCUAUUUAGGUAGCGCCUCGUGAAUUCAUCUCCGGGGGUAGAGCACUGUUUCGGCAAGGGGGUCAUCCCGACUUACCAACCCGAUGCAAACUGCGAAUACCGGAGAAUGUUAUCACGGGAGACACACGGCGGGUGCUAACGUCCGUCGUGAAGAGGGAAACAACCCAGACCGCCAGCUAAGGUCCCAAAGUCAUGGUUAAGUGGGAAACGAUGUGGGAAGGCCCAGACAGCCAGGAUGUUGGCUUAGAAGCAGCCAUCAUUUAAAGAAAGCGUAAUAGCUCACUGGUCGAGUCGGCCUGCGCGGAAGAUGUAACGGGGCUAAACCAUGCACCGAAGCUGCGGCAGCGACGCUUAUGCGUUGUUGGGUAGGGGAGCGUUCUGUAAGCCUGUGAAGGUGUGCUGUGAGGCAUGCUGGAGGUAUCAGAAGUGCGAAUGCUGACAUAAGUAACGAUAAAGCGGGUGAAAAGCCCGCUCGCCGGAAGACCAAGGGUUCCUGUCCAACGUUAAUCGGGGCAGGGUGAGUCGACCCCUAAGGCGAGGCCGAAAGGCGUAGUCGAUGGGAAACAGGUUAAUAUUCCUGUACUUGGUGUUACUGCGAAGGGGGGACGGAGAAGGCUAUGUUGGCCGGGCGACGGUUGUCCCGGUUUAAGCGUGUAGGCUGGUUUUCCAGGCAAAUCCGGAAAAUCAAGGCUGAGGCGUGAUGACGAGGCACUACGGUGCUGAAGCAACAAAUGCCCUGCUUCCAGGAAAAGCCUCUAAGCAUCAGGUAACAUCAAAUCGUACCCCAAACCGACACAGGUGGUCAGGUAGAGAAUACCAAGGCGCUUGAGAGAACUCGGGUGAAGGAACUAGGCAAAAUGGUGCCGUAACUUCGGGAGAAGGCACGCUGAUAUGUAGGUGAAGUCCCUCGCGGAUGGAGCUGAAAUCAGUCGAAGAUACCAGCUGGCUGCAACUGUUUAUUAAAAACACAGCACUGUGCAAACACGAAAGUGGACGUAUACGGUGUGACGCCUGCCCGGUGCCGGAAGGUUAAUUGAUGGGGUUAGCCGCAAGGCGAAGCUCUUGAUCGAAGCCCCGGUAAACGGCGGCCGUAACUAUAACGGUCCUAAGGUAGCGAAAUUCCUUGUCGGGUAAGUUCCGACCUGCACGAAUGGCGUAAUGAUGGCCAGGCUGUCUCCACCCGAGACUCAGUGAAAUUGAACUCGCUGUGAAGAUGCAGUGUACCCGCGGCAAGACGGAAAGACCCCGUGAACCUUUACUAUAGCUUGACACUGAACAUUGAGCCUUGAUGUGUAGGAUAGGUGGGAGGCUUUGAAGUGUGGACGCCAGUCUGCAUGGAGCCGACCUUGAAAUACCACCCUUUAAUGUUUGAUGUUCUAACGUUGACCCGUAAUCCGGGUUGCGGACAGUGUCUGGUGGGUAGUUUGACUGGGGCGGUCUCCUCCUAAAGAGUAACGGAGGAGCACGAAGGUUGGCUAAUCCUGGUCGGACAUCAGGAGGUUAGUGCAAUGGCAUAAGCCAGCUUGACUGCGAGCGUGACGGCGCGAGCAGGUGCGAAAGCAGGUCAUAGUGAUCCGGUGGUUCUGAAUGGAAGGGCCAUCGCUCAACGGAUAAAAGGUACUCCGGGGAUAACAGGCUGAUACCGCCCAAGAGUUCAUAUCGACGGCGGUGUUUGGCACCUCGAUGUCGGCUCAUCACAUCCUGGGGCUGAAGUAGGUCCCAAGGGUAUGGCUGUUCGCCAUUUAAAGUGGUACGCGAGCUGGGUUUAGAACGUCGUGAGACAGUUCGGUCCCUAUCUGCCGUGGGCGCUGGAGAACUGAGGGGGGCUGCUCCUAGUACGAGAGGACCGGAGUGGACGCAUCACUGGUGUUCGGGUUGUCAUGCCAAUGGCACUGCCCGGUAGCUAAAUGCGGAAGAGAUAAGUGCUGAAAGCAUCUAAGCACGAAACUUGCCCCGAGAUGAGUUCU
Molecule: ribosomal RNA, 2516 nt
Filed under: Escherichia coli
Lineage: Bacteria; Pseudomonadati; Pseudomonadota; Gammaproteobacteria; Enterobacterales; Enterobacteriaceae
Description: bacterial LSU rRNA
Rfam family: Bacterial large subunit ribosomal RNA
Source: RNAcentral